UUGAGACGCACGCACGCUGCCCUACGCGUUGCGAGCUCGCUGUCAAAACGCGAUUUGUUUACAGUCGUACAACACGUGUCGUGCGUUUGUUUUACUCGGCUACUAAUAUUUAUUCAAACAGAAUUAAACAAAUAAUUUAUUCAAUUCGUUCUCAAUGAAAAGUGAGUUUUAAUUAAAAAGCAGGAUCAACAAGUUUUCCAUGGAUUAAACGUAGUACUUUAUUUUAAUUUAAAUUAGAACGGACUUGGGAAGAAAAUGUUGAUGGAAAUUAAAUUAGUUUUAGUUUAGUGCUUGUUGUAUUGACGAUGGGAUCCUCGUGCUGUGCUAGUAUGUCAGUGAGUGUGGUCCGAGUGUUAUGGCUGGUGCUGAUGGUAUUUGCUGAUGAGAUCCAAGGAUAUGUGGAGACCGAGGAGUUCAUCAGUGACCUGGACAAGCCAAUACCGACGGCGCACGCGCAGGGCGUGCUCGGCAAGAAGGCCGCUCUGCCGUGCGACAUACAGCCGCUGGCGGCCGAGGACCAUGUCUCCAUGGUGCUCUGGUUCAAGGAAACUGAUGGAGAGCCUCUAUACAGCUACGACGUUCGAGGCCGGUUAGCCUCGCAGCCGAAGCUCUGGUCUUCAACAUCAGGGUUCGGUACCCGCGCCUACUUCCGAGCAGCUGCGAACCCAGCAGUACUGUUCGUGGACAGCGUGGUGUCUACUGAUGCUGGGGUCUACCGCUGCAGGGUCGACUUCAAGAACUCUCCUACAAGGAACUUGAGAGUCAACUUCACUGUUAUAACUCCGCCCAACCGGCCCACCAUCAUGGACGCUAAGACCAGGAGUCACACCAGACUGCUGGAGCCUUACAAUGAGGGAGACACGCUGGAGCUGGCUUGUGAAUGUUUUGGAGGCGACCCCCGUCCCCGGCUAACAUGGUACCUAGAAAACACAGUGAUAGACGACUCGUUCGAGCAGCGGCCAGACGGCGUGACGGUCAACACGCUGACGUUCCCCAACGUUGGCCGCCAACAUUUGAACGCCAGGCUGGUCUGCCAAGCCUCCAACACCAACCUCGCCGCGCCAGAGGCCAAGCUACUCAUUCUAGAUAUAAACUUAAGGCCACUGAGCGUGCAGAUCCUGAACAAGCGAGCACAGCUCUCAGCAGACAGGAACUAUGAAGUGGAGUGCAGAGCUGUGGGCUCCAGGCCAGAGGCACAAGUCACCUGGUGGAAGGCUGGGAGACAGCUCAAGAGGAGUGCAAAGAACUUUUCGGACAACAACGCGACCGUCAGCACCCUGAACCUGGUGCCGAUGGCAGAAGACCACGAGAAGUACCUGGUCUGCCGGGCGGAGAACCCUCGAGUGCCCAAUGCUGUCAUAGAAGACCGGUGGUUCCUCAACGUGCAAUAUGUCCCAAUAGUGACACUAAAACUGGGUUCGAACCUGAACCCGAGCUACAUCAAGGAAGGAGAUGGAGUGUACUUCGAGUGCAGCGUCAAAGCGAACCCGAAGACUAAGAAACUAACUUGGUAUAAGGGGGCAAAAGAAAUCCAGCACAAUGCGAGCGCCGGCAUCAUCCUGAGCGACCAGAGCCUGGUGCUGCAGAGCGUGACCAGGGCAGCAGCAGGCGACUACAGCUGCCUGGCGUACAAUAACGAGGGCAGUGCUACCAGCAACCCUGUGUCUUUGCAGAUCAAUUAUGCGCCAAUGUGUAAGACUGUGAACGACGGCGAGGUGUACGGAGCUCUCAAGAUGGAGACGGUGGUGCUGCAGUGCGUGGUGGACUCCAGCCCACCUCCCACAUACUUCAGCUGGUUCUUCAACAGCUCUGGAGAACAGACUGAAAUAUCUCCCAGCCUGUACACAGUCUUCGGGAACACCUCAACUCUUCGCUACACUCCGACCACUGACCUGGACUUUGGCACCGUGCUAUGUUCAGCCACCAACUCCGUGGGCAGGCAGGAGACUCCCUGCUUGUACAAACUGGUUGCUGCAGCAGGGAACCCUACGGCCCUGCAGAACUGUUCCGUAGUAAACCAGAGCUCUGAUACACUGCUGGUGGAGUGUCUCGAAGGCUUCGAUGGAGGUCUACCGCAGGUGUUCUAUAUGGAGGUGCUGGAGCUACCGUCUUUGAUGGUACGAGCAAACGUAUCCUCGAACCACACGCCUACCUUCGAGGUCCACGACCUGGACAGCAGAUCAAGCUACACCCUGAUCCUGUACGCUGCCAACGCUAAAGGCAGGAGUGAGGAGGUCACGCUGUACACAGUAGCCAUCAGGCCACCUGAUAAGUAUACCGGAGUGAGCACCUCAAUCCCACUAUCUCCGAUGCUGGUGUCUCUCCUGUCGGUGGCAGCGCUGCUGUGCACAGGAGUCUGCGGAGUCAUCACUGCGCUGUACCGGAGACACGCAGCCAGGAGACAUGAUAUAGACAAACAUCCACCUUCCACCAACGCCCUCUACAUGGAGCAGAGCGUAGAGUCGUUAUCGAAGCAGGACAACUUGAACACGUACUGCGCGUCGCCCAAGCUGGACUACUGCAGUCAGUACGAGCUGAAAAUGGAGGGGAGCGGGGAAGACACCGACCCUGAUAUCAUACCCUGCCAUUAUGACAUUUUGUUGCAGAUAAGAAACCAAUAGGAGAAUACAGUAAGCUGUCCACUCCUGCGCUGGACACAGACCCGCACAGGAUAUUCAGCGAAAGACCUGUCAUACCUGCUAGUGCGUCAUCAGUCAGUAUAUGCGUGGUGAACCGUGGCGUGACAGCGCGCAGCGCGGACAUUGCGGCUGCGCGGCGGCCAGAGGUGGUCACCACCGCGAGAAAGGUGCGCGAGAGUUGCAUAUAGACGGCGACGGUGACGGUGACGGUAAGCCAGUGACGGUGUGAUAAGGACUUUAUUAAUUGUUAUAGGUUUUAAGAUCCAACGAAGUGUGAAUUUAGGAUGUACAAAACGUUUUUUUUUUGCUUAGAUAGGUAAUUGAUUUUAAUUAAUAAAUAUUGUGGGAAUAUUUAUUUGGUUCUAUUUUUCCAUAAGAUUGUUAAGAUGUUAAAGUCCCUGGUUCGAUCCCCGAGUCGGGCAAAGUAUUGCUAGGGGAUUUUCGGUUUACCGAAAAAUUCUCAGUAGUAAGCAAGGAGCCUGGAAUUGUGUCCAGUAUAUGGCAAUAGGCUCACCCUCUAUUACAUGGGACUUAUAACACAAAUGGUGAAAAGUGCCGUAAUGUGCACUUCUGCCUACCCCUUCAGGGAUAAAAGGCGUGAUGAUACGUGAUUGUUAAGUGGUAAGUUAGUAAAUAAUAAUUUUGUGGAAAAAUAUAUUCUAGUUACGUUAUUAUUCCUUAGUAUGUGCAAUUUAAUUUAAUAUUUCCAUUAUGUAGCUAGAUAGAAACAUCCAAAGUUCACAUUUUGCUACAUAACUUUAAUUAUAAUAAUUGUAAUUAACAAACUGUUGUACACAUUAAUUAAACAAUGCAAUUGUAAGUAAGGUUACGAAAUUAUAUUUAUACUAAGUUAAUUGUAUAAUUAUAACUUAUAAUUAAUUAAUUAAAUAAUUAAUUAAAAAUGUCCGCCCACUCCUUGAGCUAUCACGAGAUUAUUUCAGUAUUUUUCUAUUUAGCUAAAUUAAUAUCUUUCCUUGGUUUUAAUAAAUUAAUUCAAAUGUAGACCCUAAUUGUUUUACAUUAAGAUACUUUUUAUGUAUAACACAGUUCUAGUUGAACGAAGACUUAUAAGAUUUCCUCUUAAUAUUUAAAGUAUGUAAAAUUAUUUAAUUACAUAAUUAUUAUUCCUAAACAGUAAGU
Molecule: RNA transcript, 3779 nt
Organism: Spodoptera frugiperda (fall armyworm)
Lineage: Eukaryota; Metazoa; Arthropoda; Insecta; Lepidoptera; Noctuidae
Gene name: protein turtle
Exons: 17
Source: RefSeq, a predicted model, not a curated record